AGUGAACGCUGGCGGUAGGCCUAACACAUGCAAGUCGAACGGCAGCACAGUAAGAGCUUGCUCUUACGGGUGGCGAGUGGCGGACGGGUGAGGAAUACAUCGGAAUCUACUUUUUCGUGGGGGAUAACGUAGGGAAACUUACGCUAAUACCGCAUACGACCUACGGGUGAAAGCAGGGGAUCUUCGGACCUUGCGCGAUUGAAUGAGCCGAUGUCGGAUUAGCUAGUUGGCUGGGUAAAGGCCCACCAAGGCGACGAUCCGUAGCUGGUCUGAGAGGAGGAUCGGCGACACGGGAACUGAGACACGGUCCAGACUCCUACGGGAGGCAGCAGUGGGGAAUAUUGGACAAUGGGCGCAAGCCUGAUCCAGCCAUCCCGCGUGGGUGAAGAAGGCCUUCGGGUUGGAAAGCCCUUUUGUUGGGAAAGAAAAGCAGCAGGUUAAUACCCCGCUGUUCUGACGGUACCCAAAGAAUAAGCACCGGCUAACUUCGUG
This 492-nucleotide ribosomal RNA is filed under the name uncultured bacterium. RNAcentral's name for it is "partial 16S ribosomal RNA". It matches the Rfam family "Bacterial small subunit ribosomal RNA", at positions 29 to 507 of the family's 1533-position model. The record is from RNAcentral.